UGGGGAAUAUUGGACAAUGGGCGAAAGCCUGAUCCAGCCAUGCCGCGUGAGUGAUGAAGGCCCUAGGGUUGUAAAGCUCUUUCAACGGUGAAGAUAAUGACGGUAACCGUAGAAGAAGCCCCGGCUAACUUCGUGCCAGCAGCCGCGGUAAUACGAAGGGGGCUAGCGUUGUUCGGAAUUACUGGGCGUAAAGCGCACGUAGGCGGAUUGUUAAGUGAGGGGUGAAAUCCCAGGGCUCAACCCUGGAACUGCCUUUCAUACUGGCAAUCUAGAGUCCGGAAGAGGUGAGUGGAAUUCCGAGUGUAGAGGUGAAAUUCGUAGAUAUUCGGAGGAACACCAGUGGCGAAGGCGGCUCACUGGUCCGGUACUGACGCUGAGGUGCGAAAGCGUGGGGAGCAAACAGG
This 404-nucleotide ribosomal RNA is filed under the name uncultured bacterium. RNAcentral describes it as "bacterial SSU rRNA". It matches the Rfam family "Bacterial small subunit ribosomal RNA", at positions 355 to 776 of the family's 1533-position model. The record is from RNAcentral. RNAcentral also lists the same sequence under 1 other name.